This 381-nucleotide ribosomal RNA is filed under the name uncultured eukaryote. RNAcentral describes it as "partial 18S ribosomal RNA". It matches the Rfam family "Eukaryotic small subunit ribosomal RNA", at positions 592 to 975 of the family's 1831-position model. The record is from RNAcentral.
CAAUAGCGUAUAUUAAAGUUGUUGCAGUUAAAAAGCUCGUAGUUGGAUUUCUGGUUGGAGCGACCGGUCGGGCAUUGAUUUGUCUGCACUGGAGUCGGUUCUGGCCAUCCUCUUGGAAAGUGCGUCUGUCAUUAAGUUAUCGGGCGUAUGAUCCAGGUCUUUUACUGUGAAAAAAUUAGAGUGUUUAAAGCAGGCCUUCGCCUUGAAUACAUUAGCAUGGAAUAAUAAGAUAGGACUUUGGUCUAUUUUGUUGGUUUGCAGACCGAAGUAAUGAUUAAUAGGGAUAGUUGGGGGUAUUUAUAUUCCAAUGUCAGAGGUGAAAUUCUUAGAUUUUUGGAAGAUAAACUUAUGCGAAAGCAUUUACCAAGGAUGUUUNCAUUA